RNAcentral lists this transfer RNA (78 nucleotides) under Pyrococcus horikoshii. RNAcentral's name for it is "tRNA-Pro". It matches the Rfam family "tRNA". From Rfam's summary of the family: Transfer RNA (tRNA) molecules are approximately 80 nucleotides in length. Their secondary structure includes four short double-helical elements and three loops (D, anti-codon, and T loops). Further hydrogen bonds mediate the characteristic L-shaped molecular structure. tRNAs have two regions of fundamental functional importance: the anti-codon, which is responsible for specific mRNA codon recognition, and the 3' end, to which the tRNAs corresponding amino acid is attached (by aminoacyl-tRNA synthetases). tRNAs cope with the degeneracy of the genetic code in two manners: having more than one tRNA (with a specific anti-codon) for a particular amino acid; and 'wobble' base-pairing, i.e. permitting non-standard base-pairing at the 3rd anti-codon position. Lineage: Archaea; Methanobacteriati; Methanobacteriota; Thermococci; Thermococcales; Thermococcaceae. The record is from RNAcentral. RNAcentral also lists the same sequence under 4 other names.
GGGGCCGUAGGGUAGCUUGGCCCAUCCUGCGGGCUUCGGGAGCCCGUGACCCGGGUUCAAAUCCCGGCGGCCCCACCA